GCAAAUGGUUAAUGUGCUCAGCUACUAACUGAGAGGCUGGUGGUUCAAGUCCACC
Molecule: transfer RNA, 55 nt
Filed under: Loxodonta africana (African savanna elephant)
Lineage: Eukaryota; Metazoa; Chordata; Mammalia; Proboscidea; Elephantidae
Rfam family: tRNA
About the family: Transfer RNA (tRNA) molecules are approximately 80 nucleotides in length. Their secondary structure includes four short double-helical elements and three loops (D, anti-codon, and T loops). Further hydrogen bonds mediate the characteristic L-shaped molecular structure. tRNAs have two regions of fundamental functional importance: the anti-codon, which is responsible for specific mRNA codon recognition, and the 3' end, to which the tRNAs corresponding amino acid is attached (by aminoacyl-tRNA synthetases). tRNAs cope with the degeneracy of the genetic code in two manners: having more than one tRNA (with a specific anti-codon) for a particular amino acid; and 'wobble' base-pairing, i.e. permitting non-standard base-pairing at the 3rd anti-codon position.
Source: Rfam by way of RNAcentral